This 509-nucleotide antisense RNA is filed under the name Streptomyces lincolnensis. Its description in RNAcentral is "Saccharopolyspora sRNA 350". It matches the Rfam family "Saccharopolyspora sRNA 350". The record is from Rfam by way of RNAcentral. Lineage: Bacteria; Bacillati; Actinomycetota; Actinomycetes; Kitasatosporales; Streptomycetaceae.
CGGGCCGUGUACUCCCAGAUGGCGUCGGCGUCGAGCAGCGCCCGCUCGCCCAGGUACGCGCCGUCGGCGAGGACCCCGAGGGACUCGUCCUCCCCGUACGGGCCGGUGCCGAGCUUCUCCACCCUGCCGUGCGCCAGCAGGAGGACCUCGUCGGUCGGGCUGCCGAACUCGGCGAUCACGUCACCGGGGCCGAACUCACGCUGCUCGCAGCGCCGGGCGAGCUCGGUGAGCACCUCCUCGUCCUCGUACGACCGCAGUGCGGGCAGUUCGCACAGUUCGGCGGGGAUCACCUCCACGCGGUCGCCGGUCUUCACGAACGUCACCCGGCCGUCCCCGACCGCGUAGGACAGUCGCCGGUUGACCCGGUACGUACCGCCCUGCACGUUCACCCAGGGCAGCAUGCGGAGCAGCCAGCGGGAGCUGAUCUCCUGCAUCUGAGGUGCGGACUUGGUGGUGGUGGCCAGGUUCCGCGCGGCCGCCGUGCCGAGACUCUGCUGCGGCCGUUCCUG